Long non-coding RNA from Photinus pyralis (common eastern firefly), 702 nucleotides. RefSeq lists it as uncharacterized. NCBI's taxonomy places the organism in Eukaryota, Metazoa, Arthropoda, Insecta, Coleoptera, Lampyridae. The record is from RefSeq and is a predicted model, not a curated record. The transcript has 2 exons.
UCAAAGUUGCAAUGUUAUUCAUUAAAAUGUAGGUUGGGUUAUUGUUUUCAUCACAGGCUGUUAUAAUGAACAAAUAUAUUCGUAAAUCGUAAUGUACAUUUAAACUCACAGACUUUUGACGUUGUUAUACCAAGAGCCAUGUUUCGCUGCGGCAGUAUAAAAUCCGAAAAGGACAGUAUAAGCCCCAUGUUCACAAAUCGUAACCCAAGACAUUUCAAAUACCUACGAAUCGCUAAUAAACCGGACGGCUACUACGGUGAUAAAACUGGAACGCUCCUACUGGCAUAAAUAUACAAAUUUGCUUUCCUACCGCCUCCAAUAAGACAGCCAGAUUGUAGAUGACAACUGACACAAACAGGCCGUCACGUAACUUUAUUGUUUGUGCAUUACAUCAAUGGACCCGACACUCACCGCUAGCACGAAGGAAUGGCCCCUCAAAACCCGGCUGUAUAAGACCAUGCACCAAGUCGUUGGCGUUUCAGUUCUUAGUACAAAGAUGCCUUGCAAGCGGUCCGACAGAGUUUAUGUGCGAUUGCAAACCCGAACACAACGUCAGUAAGGUCGCAAAGUUUCUAAUGUGCUCCAAGAUUUCAAUUUGAAAUUGCCAAUUCACUAUAACUAAGGUGCCCUUUUUAUUAUUGUGUAAUUUAUUAUUAUUUAAUGUUUAAAAUAUUGGUAAGCAAUAAAAAGUUUACAUAUUUA